AGGGGCAUUCGGCGAUCGCCCCCUUCAGGCCGGACCGGCCCAAGCAUCGC
RNAcentral lists this non-coding RNA (50 nucleotides) under unclassified sequences. The record is from RNAcentral.